AGUGAACGCUGGCGGUAUGCCUAACACAUGCAAGUCGAACGGCAGCACAGUAAGCGCUUUCUCUUACGGGUGGCGAGUGGCGGACGGGUGAGGAAUACAUCGGAAUCUACUUUUUCGUGGGGGAUAACGUAGGGAAACUUACGCUAAUACCGCAUACGACCUACGGGUGAAAGCAGGGGAUCUUCGGACCUUGCGCGAUUGAAUGAGCCGAUGUCGGAUUAGCUAGUUGGCGGGGUAAAGGCCCACCAAGGCGACGAUCCCUAGCUGGUCCGAGAGGGUGAAUCGGCAAAACGGGACCUGAGAAAGGCCCAAGAUCCUUACGGGAGGAAGCGGUGGGGAAUUUUGGCCAAGGGGGGAAAGCCUGUCCAAGCAAGCCGGGUGGGGGGAAGAAGGCUUUCGGUUGGUAAAGGCCUUUUGUUGGGAAAGAAAAGCAGCAGGUUAAUCCCCCGCUGUUUUAACGGUACCGAAAGAAUAAGAACGGCUUACUUUCGU
RNAcentral lists this ribosomal RNA (492 nucleotides) under uncultured bacterium. RNAcentral's name for it is "partial 16S ribosomal RNA". It matches the Rfam family "Bacterial small subunit ribosomal RNA", at positions 29 to 506 of the family's 1533-position model. The record is from RNAcentral.